RNAcentral lists this ribosomal RNA (371 nucleotides) under uncultured Pelotomaculum sp. RNAcentral's name for it is "bacterial SSU rRNA". It matches the Rfam family "Bacterial small subunit ribosomal RNA", at positions 1016 to 1374 of the family's 1533-position model. The record is from RNAcentral. Lineage: Bacteria; Bacillati; Bacillota; Clostridia; Eubacteriales; Desulfotomaculaceae.
ACCCUCGGGUGACAGGGAGACAGGUGGUGCAUGGUUGUCGUCAGCUCGUGUCGUGAGAUGUUGGGUUAAGUCCCCGGCAACGAGCGCAACCCCUACGUUUAGUUGCUAACGCGUGAAGGCGAGCACUCUAGACGAACUGCCGUUGACAAAACGGAGGAAGGUGGGAUGACGUCAAAUCAUCAUGCCCCUUAUGUUCUGGGCUACACACGUGCUACAAUGGCCGGUACAGACGGACGCAAAGCUGCGAGGUGGAGCAAAUCCUAAAAAGCCGGUCUCAGUUCGGAUUGCAGGCUGCAAUUCGCCUGCAUGAAGUCGGAAUCGCUAGUAAUCGCAGGUCAGCAUACUCGCGGUUCCGAAUACGUUCCGGCCUU